AGGCUGCGGAAUUCAGGAC
RNAcentral lists this microRNA (19 nucleotides) under Homo sapiens (human). RNAcentral's name for it is "hsa-miR-604". Its record names the gene hsa-miR-604. The record is from miRBase by way of RNAcentral. Lineage: Eukaryota; Metazoa; Chordata; Mammalia; Primates; Hominidae.